AUUGAACGCUGGCGGCAGGCCUAACACAUGCAAGUCGAACGAGUGGCGGACGGGUGAGUAAUGUCUGGGAAACUGCCUGAUGCAGGGGGAUAACUAAUGGAAACGGUAGCUAAUACAGCAUACCAUCGGAUGUGCCCAGAUGGGAUUAGAUAGUAGGUGGGGUAACGGUUCACCUAGGCGACGAUCCCUAGCUGGUAUGAGAGGCUGACCAGCCACACUGGAACUGAGACACGGUCCAGACUCCUACGGGAGGCAGCAGUGGGGAAUAUUGCGCAAUGGGCGCAAGCCUGAUGCAGCCAUGCCGAGUGUAUGAAGAAGGCCUUCGGGUUGUAAAGUACUUUCAUCGGGGAGGCGUUACCCGCAGAGUAAGCACCGGCUAACUCCGUGCCAGCAGCCGCGGUAAUAC
RNAcentral lists this ribosomal RNA (406 nucleotides) under uncultured bacterium. Its description in RNAcentral is "partial 16S ribosomal RNA". It matches the Rfam family "Bacterial small subunit ribosomal RNA", at positions 30 to 526 of the family's 1533-position model. The record is from RNAcentral.